This 396-nucleotide RNase P RNA is filed under the name Actinomycetota bacterium. Its description in RNAcentral is "Actinobacteria bacterium (freshwater metagenome) RNase P RNA component class A". It matches the Rfam family "Bacterial RNase P class A". From Rfam's summary of the family: Ribonuclease P (RNase P) is a ubiquitous endoribonuclease, found in archaea, bacteria and eukarya as well as chloroplasts and mitochondria. Its best characterised activity is the generation of mature 5'-ends of tRNAs by cleaving the 5'-leader elements of precursor-tRNAs. The record is from RNAcentral. Lineage: Bacteria; Bacillati; Actinomycetota.
UGGGCAGGCCGGGUGACCGCGAGCGCAGCGCCGUGCCCGACGUACGUCCGGGCAGGGCGCUGCGCUCGAGGAAAGUCCGGACACCGCAGGGCAGGACGCUGGGGAAACCCCAGGCGGCGAAAGCCGACGGAAAGUGGAACAGAAAGGAGACCACCCGGCGCCGAUGCUCUCCGAGGAGAGCGGGCGCGUCGGGCAAGGGUGAAACGGUGGGGUAAGAGCCCACCAGCGCCGUGGUGACACGGCGGCUCGCCAAACCCCGUCCGGUGCAAGGCGAAGCAGGUCCCGCUGACGCGGCCCGCCGAGGGACCGGGUACGCCGCUCGAGCCGUCGGGCAACCGCCGGCCUAGAGGGAUGGUCGCCCACGACAGAAUCCGGCUUACAGGCCUGCUACAGGAA